ACGGGGUGCAGCAGGUGCGAAACCUCCGCAAUGUGAGAAAUCGCGACGGGGGGAUCCCAAGUGCCAUUCUUAACGGGAUGGCUUUUCAUUAGUGUAAAGAGCUUUUGGAAUAAGAGCUGGGCAAGACCGGUGCCAGCCGCCGCGGUAACACCGGCAGCUCUAGUGGUAACAAUUUUUAUUGGGCCUAAAGCGUCCGUAGCCGGUUUAAUAAGUCUCUGGUGAAAUCCUGUAGCUUAACUGUGGGAAUUGCUGGAGAUACUAUUAGACUUGAGACCGGGAGAGGUUAGAGGUACUCCCAGGGUAGAGGUGAAAUUCUGUAAUCCUGGGAGGACCGCCUGUUGCGAAGGCGUCUAACUGGAACGGUUCUGACGGUGAGGGACGAAAGUUAGGGGCGCGAACCGGAUUAGAUACCCGGGUAGUCCUAACUGUAAACGAUGCGGACUUGGUGUUGGGGUGGCUUUGAGCUGCUCCAGUGCCGAAGGGAAGCUGUUAAGUCCGCCGCCUGGGAAGUACGGUCGCAAGACUGAAACUUAA
RNAcentral lists this ribosomal RNA (534 nucleotides) under uncultured archaeon. RNAcentral's name for it is "bacterial SSU rRNA". It matches the Rfam family "Archaeal small subunit ribosomal RNA", at positions 325 to 859 of the family's 1478-position model. The record is from RNAcentral.